This 305-nucleotide ribosomal RNA is filed under the name uncultured bacterium. RNAcentral's name for it is "bacterial SSU rRNA". It matches the Rfam family "Bacterial small subunit ribosomal RNA", at positions 333 to 635 of the family's 1533-position model. The record is from RNAcentral.
GUGGGCCUACGGGGCGCAGCAGUGAGGAAUAUUGGUCAAUGGCCGAGAGGCUGAACCAGCCAAGUCGCGUGAGGGAAGACGGCCCUACGGGUUGUAAACCUCUUUUGUCGGGGAGCAAAGAGAGUCACGUGUGACUCAUUGAGAGUACCCGAAGAAAAAGCAUCGGCUAACUCCGUGCCAGCAGCCGCGGUAAUACGUAGGGGGCAAGCGUUAUCCGGAAUUACUGGGUGUAAAGGGAGCGUAGACGGUUAAGUAAGUCUGGAGUGAAAGGCCGGGGCCCAACCCCGGGACUGCUCUGGAAACUA